Molecule: ribosomal RNA, 302 nt
Filed under: uncultured bacterium
Lineage: Bacteria
Description: partial 16S ribosomal RNA
Rfam family: Bacterial small subunit ribosomal RNA
Source: RNAcentral
GCAGCAGCCGCGGUAAUACGAGGGGGGCAAGCGUUGUUCGGAAUUAUUGGGCGUAAAGGGUGCGUAGGCGGCUUGACAAGUCUUGUGUGAAAUCUAUGGGCUCAACCCAUAGUCUGCACGGGAAACUGUCGGGCUUGAGAAUGGGAGAGGUGAGUGGAAUUUCCGGUGUAGCGGUGAAAUGCGUAGAUAUCGGAAGGAACACCUGUGGCGAAAGCGGCUCACUGGACCAUAACUGACGCUGAGGCGCGAAAGCUAGGGGAGCAAACAGGAUUAGAUACCCCGGUAGUCCCUGUCUCUUAUAC